GGACACGUAGCUCAGCCAGGAUAGAGCGUUGGGCUUUUAAAUCAAAGAAAUUGAUAGGGAAACCCAAUGGCCGCGGGUUCGACUCCCGUCGUGUCCG
This 97-nucleotide transfer RNA is filed under the name Promethearchaeota archaeon. Its description in RNAcentral is "Candidatus Lokiarchaeota archaeon (microbial mat metagenome) tRNA-Lys". It matches the Rfam family "tRNA". Rfam says of the family: Transfer RNA (tRNA) molecules are approximately 80 nucleotides in length. Their secondary structure includes four short double-helical elements and three loops (D, anti-codon, and T loops). Further hydrogen bonds mediate the characteristic L-shaped molecular structure. tRNAs have two regions of fundamental functional importance: the anti-codon, which is responsible for specific mRNA codon recognition, and the 3' end, to which the tRNAs corresponding amino acid is attached (by aminoacyl-tRNA synthetases). tRNAs cope with the degeneracy of the genetic code in two manners: having more than one tRNA (with a specific anti-codon) for a particular amino acid; and 'wobble' base-pairing, i.e. permitting non-standard base-pairing at the 3rd anti-codon position. Lineage: Archaea; Promethearchaeati; Promethearchaeota. The record is from RNAcentral.